Non-coding RNA from Echinostoma caproni, 84 nucleotides. Lineage: Eukaryota; Metazoa; Platyhelminthes; Trematoda; Plagiorchiida; Echinostomatidae. The record is from Rfam.
GGCCUCGUAGCUCAGCUGGUACAGCGUGCGCUGUACAAAAGCGUAGGUGGUGUCUAUGCGUGGGUUCGAAUCCCACCGAGGCUA